UGCAGUCGAGCGGACAGAUGGGAGCUUGCUCCCUGAUGUUAGCGGCGGACGGGUGAGUAACACGUGGGUAACCUGCCUGUAAGACUGGGAUAACUCCGGGAAACCGGGGCUAAUACCGGAUGCUUGUUUGAACCGCAGGGUUCAAACAUAAAAGGUGGCUUCGGCUACCACUUACAGAUGGACCCGCGGCGCAUUAGCUAGUUGGUGAGGUAACGGCUCACCAAGGCAACGAUGCGUAGCCGACCUGAGAGGGUGAUCGGCCACACUGGGACUGAGACACGGCCCAGACUCCUACGGGAGGCAGCAGUAGGGAAUCUUCCGCAAUGGACGAAAGUCUGACGGAGCAACGCCGCGUGAGUGAUGAAGGUUUUCGGAUCGUAAAGCUCUGUUGUUAGGGAAGAACAAGUACCGUUCGAAUAGGGCGGUACCUUGACGGUACCUAACCAGAAAGCCACGGCUAACUACGUGCCAGCAGCCGCGGUAAUACGUAGGUGGCAAGCGUUGUCCGGAAUUAUUGGGCGUAAAGGGCUCGCAGGCGGUUCCUUAAGUCUGAUGUGAAAGCCCCCGGCUCAACCGGGGAGGGUCAUUGGAAACUGGGGAACUUGAGUGCAGAAGAGGAGAGUGGAAUUCCACGUGUAGCGGUGAAAUGCGUAGAGAUGUGGAGGAACACCAGUGGCGAAGGCGACUCUCUGGUCUGUAACUGACGCUGAGGAGCGAAAGCGUGGGGAGCGAACAGGAUUAGAUACCCUGGUAGUCCACGCCGUAAACGAUGAGUGCUAAGUGUUAGGGGGUUUCCGCCCCUUA
Molecule: ribosomal RNA, 804 nt
Filed under: Bacillus sp. (in: firmicutes)
Lineage: Bacteria; Bacillati; Bacillota; Bacilli; Caryophanales; Bacillaceae
Description: bacterial SSU rRNA
Rfam family: Bacterial small subunit ribosomal RNA
Source: RNAcentral